This 1332-nucleotide ribosomal RNA is filed under the name Salmonella enterica subsp. enterica serovar Enteritidis. RNAcentral describes it as "partial 23S ribosomal RNA". It matches the Rfam family "Bacterial large subunit ribosomal RNA", at positions 1538 to 2844 of the family's 2925-position model. The record is from RNAcentral. Lineage: Bacteria; Pseudomonadati; Pseudomonadota; Gammaproteobacteria; Enterobacterales; Enterobacteriaceae.
AAAUCCGGUUCACUUUAACACUGAGGCGUGACGACGAGGCACUACGGUGCUGAAGCAACAAAUGCCCUGCUUCCAGGAAAAGCCUCUAAGCAUCAGGUAACAUCAAAUCGUACCCCAAACCGACACAGGUGGUCAGGUAGAGAAUACCAAGGCGCUUGAGAGAACUCGGGUGAAGGAACUAGGCAAAAUGGUGCCGUAACUUCGGGAGAAGGCACGCUGACACGUAGGUGAAGUGAUUUACUCAUGGAGCUGAAGUCAGUCGAAGAUACCAGCUGGCUGCAACUGUUUAUUAAAAACACAGCACUGUGCAAACACGAAAGUGGACGUAUACGGUGUGACGCCUGCCCGGUGCCGGAAGGUUAAUUGAUGGGGUCAGCGCAAGCGAAGCUCCUGAUCGAAGCCCCGGUAAACGGCGGCCGUAACUAUAACGGUCCUAAGGUAGCGAAAUUCCUUGUCGGGUAAGUUCCGACCUGCACGAAUGGCGUAAUGAUGGCCAGGCUGUCUCCACCCGAGACUCAGUGAAAUUGAACUCGCUGUGAAGAUGCAGUGUACCCGCGGCAAGACGGAAAGACCCCGUGAACCUUUACUAUAGCUUGACACUGAACAUUGAGCCUUGAUGUGUAGGAUAGGUGGGAGGCUUUGAAGUGUGGACGCCAGUCUGCAUGGAGCCGACCUUGAAAUACCACCCUUUAAUGUUUGAUGUUCUAACGUGGACCCGUUACCCGGGUUGCGGACAGUGUCUGGUGGGUAGUUUGACUGGGGCGGUCUCCUCCUAAAGAGUAACGGAGGAGCACGAAGGUUGGCUAAUCCUGGUCGGACAUCAGGAGGUUAGUGCAAUGGCAUAAGCCAGCUUGACUGCGAGCGUGACGGCGCGAGCAGGUGCGAAAGCAGGUCAUAGUGAUCCGGUGGUUCUGAAUGGAAGGGCCAUCGCUCAACGGAUAAAAGGUACUCCGGGGAUAACAGGCUGAUACCGCCCAAGAGUUCAUAUCGACGGCGGUGUUUGGCACCUCGAUGUCGGCUCAUCACAUCCUGGGGCUGAAGUAGGUCCCAAGGGUAUGGCUGUUCGCCAUUUAAAGUGGUACGCGAGCUGGGUUUAGAACGUCGUGAGACAGUUCGGUCCCUAUCUGCCGUGGGCGCUGGAGAACUGAGGGGGGCUGCUCCUAGUACGAGAGGACCGGAGUGGACGCAUCACUGGUGUUCGGGUUGUCAUGCCAAUGGCACUGCCCGGUAGCUAAAUGCGGAAGAGAUAAGUGCUGAAAGCAUCUAAGCACGAAACUUGCCCCGAGAUGAGUUCUCCCUGAGACUUAAAGUCUCCUGAAGGAACGUUGAAGA